GAUGAACGCUGGCGGCGUGCCUAAUACAUGCAAGUCGAGCGAACAGAUGAGGAGCUUGCUCCUCUGACGUUAGCGGCGGACGGGUGAGUAACACGUGGAUAACCUACCUAUAAGACUGGGAUAACUUCGGGAAACCGGAGCUAAUACCGGAUAAUAUAUUGAACCGCAUGGUUCAAUAGUGAAAGACGGUUUUGCUGUCACUUAUAGAUGGAUCCGCGCCGCAUUAGCUAGUUGGUAAGGUAACGGCUUACCAAGGCAACGAUGCGUAGCCGACCUGAGAGGGUGAUCGGCCACACUGGAACUGAGACACGGUCCAGACUCCUACGGGAGGCAGUAGUAGGGAAUCUUCCGCAAUGGGCGAAAGCCUGACGGAGCAACGCCGCGUGAGUGAUGAAGGUCUUCGGAUCGUAAAACUCUGUUAUUGGGGAAGAACAAAUGUGUAAGUAACUAUGCACGUCUUGACGGUACCUAAUCAGAAAGCCACGGCUAACUACGUG
This 497-nucleotide ribosomal RNA is filed under the name uncultured bacterium. RNAcentral describes it as "partial 16S ribosomal RNA". It matches the Rfam family "Bacterial small subunit ribosomal RNA", at positions 28 to 507 of the family's 1533-position model. The record is from RNAcentral.